AUGAUCCCUCUGUCAACAAUCUUACAAAAAACAAAUCUCGGCUACCAAACAUCUAAGAAUUCUCACAAAAUUUCACAUUUGAUGUACAUGGAUGACCUGAAGCUGUGUGGGAAAACGGAAACUGAAAUCCAAUCUCUGACCAACACUGUCCGAAUUUUUAGCACUGAUAUCAGCAUGGAGUUUGGUUUGGACAAAUGUUCGACAGUGGCAUUGAAGAAGGGAAAAAUCAUUGAAAGUGAGGGCAUAAAUAUGCCCAAUGGCCAAACAAUAAAGUGUCACCAUCCAGAGGCCUAUAAAUAUCUGGGCAUAUUACAGCUGGACAACAUCAAGCAUGAACAUGUGAAGACUGUGGUCAGUAAAGAAUACACACAAAGGGUCAGAAAAAUUCUCAAAAGCAAGCUCAAUGGAGGCAACACCAUCAAGGCCAUAAACACCUGGGCCAUACCUGUCAUAAGAUAUACUGCUGGCAUUAUAAAUUGGACACAGGCGGAACUGGACAAUUUGGACAGAAAAACAAGAAAACUCAUGACCAUUCAUCAUUCACUGCACCCUCGCAGUGAUGUUGACCGGCUGUAUCUGCCUAGAAGAUCAGGGGGCAGAGGACUCUUACAAGUAAAACAAGCAGUCAAAGAAGAAGAACAUGCCCUGGCAGAAUAUGUAAAACAAAGUGAAGAACCUGCUUUGAUUGAAGUCAAAAAUCAGAAACUCCUCAAAGCACAGCAGACAAAAAACCAGUACAAGAAAACCGCACUACAAACUAGAGCUGACAGCUGGCACAACAAAACACUACAUGGAAAGUUCCUUGACAAAAUUGAAGGAAAACCUGAUAAGGAGAAGACCUGGCUCUGGCUCACGAAUGGGACCCUGAAGAAGGAGACAGAAGGCCUGAUCCUUGCAGCCCAGGAGCAAGACAUCAGGACAAAGGCAAUUCAGGCCAAGAUCGAAAAAUCAGCUGAUGACCCAAAAUGCAGACUGUGCAAGGAAACCGACGAAACCAUUGAUCAUAUCCUCAGCUGCUGUAAGAAAAUUGCACAGACAGACUACAAACAGAGGCACAACUAUGUGGCCCAAAUGAUCCAUUGGAACUUAUGCCUCAAGUACCACCUCCCAGCAGCAAAGAACUGGUGGGAUCACAAACCUGCAAUAGUAUUGGAAAAUGAGCACGCAAAGAUACUGUGGGACUUCCGAAUCCAGACUGACAAAGUUCUGGAAUACAACACACCAGACAUCACAGUUGUAGAAAAGAAAAAGGUUGGGAUCAUUGAUGUUGCCAUCCCAGGUGACAAUCGCAUUGACGAAAAACAACAGGGAAAACUCAGC
Molecule: long non-coding RNA, 1320 nt
Organism: Anolis carolinensis (green anole)
Lineage: Eukaryota; Metazoa; Chordata; Lepidosauria; Squamata; Anolidae
Source: Ensembl